UCGAGGGGCAGCAUAAUGGAUAGCAAUAUCUAUGGUGGCGACCGGCGCACGGGUGCGUAACGCGUAUGCAACCUACCUUUAACAGGGGGAUAACACUGAGAAAUUGGUACUAAUACCCCAUAAUAUCAUAGAAGGCAUCUUUUAUGGUUGAAAAUUCCGAUGGUUAGAGAUGGGCAUGCGUUGUAUUAGCUAGUUGGUGGGGUAACGGCUCACCAAGGCGACGAUACAUAGGGGGACUGAGAGGUUAACCCCCCACACUGGUACUGAGACACGGACCAGACUCCUACGGGAGGCAGCAGUGAGGAAUAUUGGUCAAUGGACGCAAGUCUGAACCAGCCAUGCCGCGUGCAGGAUGACGGCUCUAUGAGUUGUAAACUGCUUUUGUACGAGGGUAAACGCAGAUACGUGUAUCUGUCUGAAAGUAUCGUACGAAUAAGGAUCGGCUAACUCCGUGCCAGCAGCCGCGGUAAUACGGAGGAUUCAAGCGUUAUCCGGAUUUAUUGGGUUUAAAGGGUGCGUAGGCGGUUUGAUAAGUUAGAGGUGAAAUUUCGGGGCUCAACCCUGAACGUGCCUCUAAUACUGUUGAGCUAGAGAGUAGUUGCGGUAGGCGGAAUGUAUGGUGUAGCGGUGAAAUGCUUAGAGAUCAUACAGAACACCGAUUGCGAAGGCAGCUUACCAAACUAUAUCUGACGUUGAGGCACGAAAGCGUGGGGAGCAAACAGGAUUAGAUACCCUGGUAGUCCACGCAGUAAACGAUGAUAACUCGUUGUCGGCGAUACACAGUCGGUGACUAAGCGAAAGCGAU
Molecule: ribosomal RNA, 805 nt
Filed under: uncultured bacterium
Lineage: Bacteria
Description: bacterial SSU rRNA
Rfam family: Bacterial small subunit ribosomal RNA
Source: RNAcentral